UACGGAGGAUGCAAGCGUUAUCCGGAUUCAUUGGGUUUAAAGGGUGCGCAGGCGGAGAUAUAAGUCAGUGGUGAAAAACUGUCGCUCAACGGUAGUCUUGCCAUUGAUACUGUUUCUCUUGAGUAUGGAUGAGGUAGGCGGAAUGUGCAGUGUAGCGGUGAAAUGCAUAGAUAUUGCACGGAACACCAAUUGCGAAGGCAGCUUACUGGGCCAUUACUGACGCUCAGGCACGAAAGCGUGGGGAUCAAACAGGAUUAGAUACCCUGGUAGUCCACGCAGUAAACGAUGUUCACUCGCUGUUUGCGAUAUACUGUAAGCGGCUUAGUUAAAGCAUUAAGUGAACCACCUGGGGAGUACGAUCGCAAGGUUGAAACUCAAAGGAAUUGACGGGGGCCCGCACAAGCGGAGGAACAUGUGGUUUAAUUCGAUGAUACGCGAGGAACCUUACCUGGGCUUAAAUGCAGGAUGCAUGCUGUGGAAACACACUUCCCUUCGGGGCUUCCUGCAAGGUGCUGCAUGGUU
This 522-nucleotide ribosomal RNA is filed under the name uncultured bacterium. RNAcentral's name for it is "bacterial SSU rRNA". It matches the Rfam family "Bacterial small subunit ribosomal RNA", at positions 524 to 1050 of the family's 1533-position model. The record is from RNAcentral.